GAUGAAGAACGUAGCGAAAUGCGAUAAGUAGUGUGAAUUACAGAAUUCAGUGAAUCAUCGAAUCUUUGAACGCACAUUGCGCCCUUUGGUAUUCCUUAGGGCAUGCCUGUUCGAGCGUCAUUUAAACCUUCAAGCUAAGCUUGGUGUUGGGUGACUGUCCGCUUCACGGCGGACUCGCCUCAAAAUUAUUGGCGGCCGGUACAUUGGCUUCGAGCGCAGCAGAAACGCGAACUCGGGCCCGUCGUAUUGGCUCCCAGAAGCUAUCUUCACAAUUUUGACCUCGGAUCAGGUAGGGAUACCCGCUGAACUUAAGCAUAUCAAUAAGCGGAGGA
RNAcentral lists this unclassified non-coding RNA (332 nucleotides) under soil metagenome. RNAcentral's name for it is "partial contains 5.8S ribosomal RNA, internal transcribed spacer 2, and large subunit ribosomal RNA". The stretch from base 1 to 120 matches the Rfam family "5.8S ribosomal RNA", at positions 35 to 154 of the family's 154-position model. The record is from RNAcentral.